GCACUGAUGGCGGAAUGGCAGACGCGUUGGAUUUAGGUUCCAAUGCCGCAAGGCGUGCAGGUUCAAGUCCUGUUCAGUGCACCA
RNAcentral lists this transfer RNA (84 nucleotides) under Lentisphaeria bacterium. Its description in RNAcentral is "tRNA-Leu". It matches the Rfam family "tRNA". From Rfam's summary of the family: Transfer RNA (tRNA) molecules are approximately 80 nucleotides in length. Their secondary structure includes four short double-helical elements and three loops (D, anti-codon, and T loops). Lineage: Bacteria; Pseudomonadati; Lentisphaerota; Lentisphaeria. The record is from RNAcentral.